This is a long non-coding RNA of Maniola jurtina (meadow brown), 922 nucleotides long. RefSeq lists it as uncharacterized. The record is from RefSeq and is a predicted model, not a curated record. The transcript has 2 exons. NCBI's taxonomy places the organism in Eukaryota, Metazoa, Arthropoda, Insecta, Lepidoptera, Nymphalidae.
ACACCAGCCCGGCUAGCAUGGGCAGUAGAUAAAAAUUAUAUCCCCGAUUAUAUCCACUGAUUUCUAUGACAUCAGUGGAUAUAAUCAGGGGAUAUAAUUUUUAUCUACUGCCCAUGCUAGACGGGCUGUUUUACCUAUUAUCUCCCACCAUGUUAAAGCCACCAUGAUCCAAACUUCAUAGUCGAUGUUCCCUGUUAGUUCUUCCCUGUGUUGGGGAGAAUACGUAGAAAAAAUUUCAGUUUCUAUAAAAUAACGAAGGUCUGGCCCUCACGGUCCUUUACUGUAAAGUAUAUUUUAAUUCAUUAUUAUUAAUUUUAUAAUGUCUACUGUUGCUUUAAAUUUGAAUUUUGUUCUUGAAUAAUUAUUGUAUUUUCCUUAUGUCCUUUCUAGUUAGUUAUUUGUCUUCCGGAAGUGUUGUUGUCUAAGAAUUGUUUAAUUUUUUUAUUUAAUUAGAUCAAUAUUGUUUGUUAUGUUGAUAGUUGAUAUAAUAAAUACCUAGUUACCUAAGAAUGAAGAUACUCUUUAUUUUAGUACUUUUGCUUCAUUUGUAUUGACACAAACAAUGUGUUCACUAUUUUAGCUAUAAUAUAAUCGAUAUUUAUAAUUAGGAAAUGAUUAACUAUGUGGAAUAAAAUAUCUUUAUAAUAAAAUGAGUACAAAUUACUUUAUAAUAGUAUGUCUAAAAUAAUAGUAUCACUAUUGCUCUCCAGUUUAUCUUUAUUACACCCGAAAUACCGACUCAAGCUAAUCAAUAUAUAGAUAUAAGUAAGUACCUAGGUACCUACCACUAGGUACUAUACCUACAUUAGCAAUUUAAUAGGUACCUAUAGUAAUAUUAAUAAUGUAAAUGAUAUGCAUUAACACAUUACAAACUCAAUAUAUUUUAUGUAGUUAAAUAAUAUUAAAUAAACGAUGCAAAAUA